This 830-nucleotide long non-coding RNA is filed under the name Prunus dulcis (almond). Its description in RNAcentral is "sRNA ncRNA". The record is from RNAcentral. Lineage: Eukaryota; Viridiplantae; Streptophyta; Magnoliopsida; Rosales; Rosaceae.
CGCAAUGCCAAAUAUGAGUACAAAAUUUCUAGUGACCAAACACAAAAAUAAAUUGGUUUGAUCUGGAGAGAAUUACGCAUGCCAAAAAAACCUUAAAACUCCAAUUUGGCAGACAAGAAGCAUAUGUACUCAGACCUACAAUACAGAUCCACAGAGCAACAGCAGUAAAUGCAAAUCCGCAUCGAAAAGUCGAACACUAAAUACAUACAUCAACAAACUCCUAUUGAGUUUCUGAGAAUUAUUAGACUAAAAUAAACAUAGAAACAAGGACAUCGCACCACUUCCUCUCUAGCAAACCAAAGAGACUCGUAGCACUAACAUGACUAAACCUCUUAUUUUGCACAGGCAAAAUUCGAUCCCACACAAACGAGCAACAAUCACUUUUCCAACUCCAAACACUGAAUUAGAGCAAAUUCCAUAUGCGUGGACCAAAAGCUGCAACAAAGUCAUGGGGUCUACAGUGGAUUGCAGUACUUGCUUCAAAAACACAACAAAAACCAAAAAGAAAAGCUGGGUCAACAACACCGCACCACAACCAUCCCAAUGACAGCAAGACACCAUUCAAGAACAACAAAAGUCACCAAUGACCUACAACAAAAAACACAUAAACAAACAAAAGACAAGAUCCAGAUAGAUUUGGGCAAAAGGACCCAAAAUCCAGACAAAUUUGGGGAGAGAAUAGGAGAGGGGAAGAAAACUAGGAAAUGAGAAAGGGAGAUGAGGAGAGAAAGAUGGAAAAUGGGGAAGCCACCCACCCCCUUUGGGGGCGACGACUGCAAACCUUCAGAGAGAGUUUAGGGUUUUGAGAGAAUCUGUAUUUAGAACUGGGG